ACACUUCUUUUCUUAAAAAUCAUAAACGGAAUAAUUAACUAAUUAUCCUUCAAAAUUCAAUAAAAUAAUAAUCAAAACUUUGCAGCGGAAUUUAUUUCAACAUCUAAAUAGUCUUUGGCACAAAGGCCUCAUCAUAACGUCUCAUAAAAUCCAAUCUAAAACAUAGUCAUGUAAAAUCAUAAGCAAUACGUAAGGAAUAGAAAAGCAUGCAACAAAGUCCCAUCUCGUUAUGUAUCAGAGCACCUAAAGACACACGUAAGGAGGAAACCACUCACGACAGCAACUUAAUCUCGAUCACCUGCAAGUUACUCAUACGAAGAGGAACAUUUCCAAGCAGAAGGGGUGAGAUUUCACAUUCAAUAAUAAUAAGUAUAUAAUUCAUCAAAAGCAUUUAACAACUUAAACUUCAUCAAUUAAUAACAUUAUUAUUCUUAUAAUACUUCAUUAAUAACUCAAUCAACUUCUAAUAAUCAUUAACUUCAUAUUCAUUACAUUAUACACAACGUCAUACAACAACAUAAACAUCACAUCAUAAACAUCAUAUACUUCACAUCAUAAACGUCAUCUUAUAACAUCAUAUAUUUCACAUCAUAACAUCAUCAUAUAACAACAUAACAACAUCAUAAUCAACAUCAUAAGCACAUCAUUAAAUUCACAUGGGUGAAUAAAAACUUAACAACAACGACACGACUUCAACUCGACAGUACAACUCAGACAUCUUACACAUCUUGAACCAUCUAGACAAAAUGCAACCACGACUUCUUAAUCAUGCAUGUAGUACCAAUCAGGGCAUCAAGCCCCCAACGUAUUGAGCGUAAAUAGGCUCACAGGGCAUCAAGCCCUCAACUUACAGGGCAUCAAGCCCUCAACAUAAUAUGUAUAAAUAUAGAUUACAGGGCAUUAAGCCCUCAACUUAAAUGAGGAUGCAUGGACUCAACAACUUACAACUUGGACAACAUCAACAACUUAUAUGACUCCAAUACUUUGAAACAACCUUUUAACCUUUGUAACUUAGACCAACACUCGCAACUUAAUAAAUAUUCAACAACAACAGAGGCAGCACAUAAACAGCUCACAACAUAACAACGUUAAUGAAUAAACAAUAACAACUUGAAUCAUAACAACAUUAAUAAUAACCACUUGGAUGGUAUAACAACAUUAUUUCUAUACCAU
Molecule: long non-coding RNA, 1173 nt
Filed under: Medicago truncatula (barrel medic)
Lineage: Eukaryota; Viridiplantae; Streptophyta; Magnoliopsida; Fabales; Fabaceae
Description: long non-coding RNA (MTRU_LNC007452)
Source: RNAcentral